GCCCCUUUACAGCCACCGUGGAAAGGACCUCAAACCAUCAUCCUGACCACCCCCACGGCUGUAAAGGUAGAAGGAAUCCCAGCCUGGAUCCACAACAGCCAUGUGAAACCUACAGCCACUGAAAACUAGGAGACAAAACCGAGCCUGGACAAGCCCUGCAAAGUGACUCUGAGGAGGACGACAAGCCCUGCUCCAGUCACAUCCAGAAGCUGACUGGUCUACGCACGGCUGAAGCAUGAGGAGAAUCAUCGUAAAACUCAUUUUCCUUAUAAUUUGGACUUGUAUAGUAAAAACUUCCACUGAUUUUCCCCGCAUGAAAGACUACUCUUAGUGUAUACAUCAGGUUACUGAGAUUCUUGGCCUUCCCACCCUACCCCGCAUGAUACAGAUACACUUUUAGGCAUCUGCAAUGGAUACGCUUGCUCCAGCCAAAGGGUAUUGAAAAAAGCAUGAACAGCUAAUAUGAAUGUCAAAAGGAAGUAACUUCAUCAACUGAAGAAUCUGGCCUGCAUAUCACUGGGCAUCAGGGCAUCUUUAUUGAAGAAGGCACAAAACCCUGGAAGCAUAAAUCGCCACAAGCAUUUAAAACCUGAACAUGCGAUAAAUAAAUCAACCUUAAAGGCCAUGUGGCGGGGAGCUCUUUACUCACCACUGUGACGUUGAAAGCAUACAGAAGAUCAAAAGGCAGGGCAGCGAUUAAAUCAAUGAUGAACCAGGUUGUGACAUAGUGGAUGCAAAUUGAUCUUGCUUCAAAGAUAACUUGGCCAGACUUGCUGACAUAAGUUGUUCGGAAAUUUAAAAUAAUAUCUGCUUGGGAAAAAAAAGGUUGAGAAAUAAAAGGAAGAGACAGAGAAGAAUAAAGAAGGUAGGAAGGACAAUGAAAGAAAGAAGAAAGGAAGGGAGACAGGCAGGCAAACAAGCAGGAAGGAAGGGAGGAAGAAAAUCGUAGAAAAUUAAAUAAAAUUAGGCAAAUGGCAACCACUUAGCCUAGUUCAGAUUGAUAAUAUCCAA
Homo sapiens (human) is the source of this 1011-nucleotide long non-coding RNA. NCBI's taxonomy places the organism in Eukaryota, Metazoa, Chordata, Mammalia, Primates, Hominidae. The record is from Ensembl.